This 253-nucleotide ribosomal RNA is filed under the name uncultured bacterium. RNAcentral's name for it is "partial 16S ribosomal RNA". It matches the Rfam family "Bacterial small subunit ribosomal RNA", at positions 524 to 776 of the family's 1533-position model. The record is from RNAcentral.
UACGGGGGGGGCAAGCGUUGUCCGGAUUUAUUGGGCGUAAAGCGCUCGCAGGUGGUUCGUUGCGUCGUGCGUGAAAGACCCCGGCUCAACUGGGGAGGGUCGUGCGAUACGGGCGAACUGGAGGCUAGUAGGGGGAUGCGGAAUUCCGGGUGUAGUGGUGGAAUGCGUAGAGAUCCGGAGGAACACCAGCGGCGAAGGCGGCAUCCUGGACUGGUCCUGACACUCAUGAGCGAAAGCGUGGGGAGCGAUCCGG